Rhincodon typus (whale shark) is the source of this 745-nucleotide long non-coding RNA. RefSeq lists it as uncharacterized. NCBI's taxonomy places the organism in Eukaryota, Metazoa, Chordata, Chondrichthyes, Orectolobiformes, Rhincodontidae. The record is from RefSeq and is a predicted model, not a curated record. The transcript is spliced from 3 exons.
CUGAUCAAUAAAUAUUGAUCAGAACAUUGGCGGGAAUCUCCCUGUUCUUCAAUGAGAUCUGUUAUGGCAAGUGGGAACAAGAUCUAGUUGAUUUAAAAACUCACCCAAUUGCUCAGUUUAGUUGAGUUUUUAACACUCCAAUUUUCUUCUGAAUGUGAGUUCAUUUACAACUGUUGCCUUCACUUUUCGUCAUUCAUCAUGGCAAAUCUAAUUUCUCAUAUUGAGGAGGUUUUGCAGCCUUCCUAAAUCCUGGAUUAGAAAGACAUAAAUGCCUUGUGCGGGGAGCUCUUUCAACGUGGGAAUGUUGCAGCAUGUCAGUGCACACACAGACAGAGGGUGGCAAAGAAACUUCAAUGACUGGGGUUCUCCCUCCUGCUGCAGUCUUCAUCUAUCAUCGCAGCUAUUCAUAUCAGACAAAUACCUUCUGCCUGGAUCACUGUCGAAGAUUUGUUUUGGAUUGCGCUUUGUCUGGUUCCUCCUCUCCGACUUUACCGUCAUGGGUGGCCCUGCUAGGAGUUGAGAACUCCUGACUGCUUCGCACCUGGGAUCAACUGAAUACUCAAAUCUCCCCGUUGAAGCAAGUUGGCAAUCCAUGAAAAGGAGUCAUUAGAACCUUUAUAACAUGGCACAAGAGCCCAGGCCCUGCUUUGGCCCUUUGAGAGAAGGAUUACAUCAGUUCCAACUCCAAAAGUUAUAUUCUAACUUUGUUUCCAAAUUCUUCAUGCUUUUCAGUCUUCAACAUAUC